AGACAGCAGCCGCCGCGGUAAUACAGAGGGUGCGAGCGUUAAUCGGAUUUACUGGGCGUAAAGCGUGCGUAGGCGGCUUCUUAAGUCGGAUGUGAAAUCCCUGAGCUUAACUUAGGAAUUGCAUUCGAUACUGGGAAGCUAGAGUAUGGGAGAGGAUGGUAGAAUUCCAGGUGUAGCGGUGAAAUGCGUAGAGAUCUGGAGGAAUACCGAUGGCGAAGGCAGCCAUCUGGCCUAAUACUGACGCUGAGGUACGAAAGCAUGGGGAGCAAACAGGAUUAGAUACCCCCGUAGUCCCUGUCUCUUAUAA
RNAcentral lists this ribosomal RNA (307 nucleotides) under uncultured bacterium. Its description in RNAcentral is "partial 16S ribosomal RNA". It matches the Rfam family "Bacterial small subunit ribosomal RNA", at positions 506 to 809 of the family's 1533-position model. The record is from RNAcentral.